UGCAGUCGAACGGUGAAGCCAAGCUUGCUUGGUGGAUCAGUGGCGAACGGGUGAGUAACACGUGAGCAACCUGCCCUGGACUCUGGGAUAAGCGCUGGAAACGGCGUCUAAUACUGGAUAUGAGCCUCUAUCGCAUGGUGGGGGUUGGAAAGAUUUUUCGGUCUGGGAUGGGCUCGCGGCCUAUCAGCUUGUUGGUGAGGUAAUGGCUCACCAAGGCGUCGACGGGUAGCCGGCCUGAGAGGGUGACCGGCCACACUGGGACUGAGACACGGCCCAGACUCCUACGGGAGGCAGCAGUGGGGAAUAUUGCACAAUGGGCGGAAGCCUGAUGCAGCAACGCCGCGUGAGGGAUGACGGCCUUCGGGUUGUAAACCUCUUUUAGCAGGGAAGAAGCGAGAGUGACGGUACCUGCAGAAAAAGCGCCGGCUAACUACGUGCCAGCAGCCGCGGUAAUACGUAGGGCGCAAGCGUUAUCCGGAAUUAUUGGGCGUAAAGAGCUCGUAGGCGGUUUGUCGCGUCUGCUGUGAAAUCCCGAGGCUCAACCUCGGGCCUGCAGUGGGUACGGGCAGACUAGAGUGCGGUAGGGGAGAUUGGAAUUCCUGGUGUAGCGGUGGAAUGCGCAGAUAUCAGGAGGAACACCGAUGGCGAAGGCAGAUCUCUGGGCCGUAACUGACGCUGAGGAGCGAAAGGGUGGGGAGCAAACAGGCUUAGAUACCCUGGUAGUCCACCCCGUAAACGUUGGGAACUAGUUGUGGGGACCAUUCCACGGUUUCCGUGACGCAGCUAACGCAUUAAGUUCCCCGCCUGGGGAGUACGGCCGCAAGGCUAAAACUCAAAGGAAUUGACGGGGACCCGCACAAGCGGCGGAGCAUGCGGAUUAAUUCGAUGCAACGCGAAGAACCUUACCAAGGCUUGACAUACACCAGAACACCGUAG
RNAcentral lists this ribosomal RNA (936 nucleotides) under Microbacterium sp. RNAcentral's name for it is "bacterial SSU rRNA". It matches the Rfam family "Bacterial small subunit ribosomal RNA", at positions 56 to 1003 of the family's 1533-position model. Lineage: Bacteria; Bacillati; Actinomycetota; Actinomycetes; Micrococcales; Microbacteriaceae. The record is from RNAcentral.